RNAcentral lists this ribosomal RNA (473 nucleotides) under uncultured bacterium. RNAcentral's name for it is "bacterial SSU rRNA". It matches the Rfam family "Bacterial small subunit ribosomal RNA", at positions 34 to 507 of the family's 1533-position model. The record is from RNAcentral.
CGCUGGCGGCGUACCUAACACAUGCAAGUCAACUUGACUGAAGGAGCAAUCUGACAGUAGAGUGGCGCAAGGGUGCGUAACGCGUAAGUAACUUGCCCAAGGUAAGGAAUAACGUCGAGAAAUCGGCGCUAAUACCUCAUAAUGCAGCGGAUCCGCAUGGAUAUGUUGUUAAAGGUUUACCGCCUUGGGAUAGGCUUGCGUCUGAUUAGCUAGUUGGUGUGGUAACGGCACACCAAGGCUACGAUCAGUAACUGGUCUGAGAGGAUGAUCAGUCACACUGGAACUGAGACACGGUCCAGACUCCUACGGGAGGCAGCAGUGAGGAAUAUUGGGCAAUGCUCGAAAGAGUGACCCAGCAACGCCGCGUGGAGGAUGAAGGUAUUCUAUAUCGUAAACUCCUGUGAGAGCAGACGAAAGACAGAUUAUUAAUCUGGAUGACUGUAUGCUCAGAGGAAGCCCCGGCUAACUACGUG